Molecule: ribosomal RNA, 253 nt
Filed under: uncultured bacterium
Lineage: Bacteria
Description: partial 16S ribosomal RNA
Rfam family: Bacterial small subunit ribosomal RNA
Source: RNAcentral
UACGUAGGGUGCAAGCGUUGUCCGGAAUUAUUGGGCGUAAAGAGCUCGUAGGCGGUUUGUUGCGUCGGCUGUGAAAUCCCGAGGCUCAACCUCGGGUCUGCAGUCGAUACGAGCAAACUAGAGUGUUGCAGGGGAGACUGGAAUUCCUGGUGUAGCGGUGAAAUGCGUAGAGAUGUGGAGGAACACCGAUGGCGAAGGCAGCCUUCUGGGCCAACACUGACGCUCAUGCACGAAAGCGUGGGGAGCAAACAGG